UGCUCCCAGUACGAGAGGACCGGAGUGAACGCAUCACUGGUGUUCGGGUUGUCAUGCCAAUGGCACUGCCCGGUAGCUAAAUGCGGAAGAGAUAAGUGCUGAAAGCAUCUAAGCACGAAACUUGCCCCGAGAUGAGUUCUCCCUGAGACUAUAAGUCUCCUGAAGGAACGUUGAAGACGACGACGUUGAUAGGCCGGGUGUGUAAGCGCAGCGAUGCGUUGAGCUAACCGGUACUAAUGAACCGUGAGGCUUAACCUU
This 258-nucleotide ribosomal RNA is filed under the name Cronobacter turicensis. RNAcentral's name for it is "partial 23S ribosomal RNA". It matches the Rfam family "Bacterial large subunit ribosomal RNA", at positions 2673 to 2925 of the family's 2925-position model. Lineage: Bacteria; Pseudomonadati; Pseudomonadota; Gammaproteobacteria; Enterobacterales; Enterobacteriaceae. The record is from RNAcentral.